Molecule: long non-coding RNA, 1260 nt
Filed under: Homo sapiens (human)
Lineage: Eukaryota; Metazoa; Chordata; Mammalia; Primates; Hominidae
Description: non-protein coding RRS1-AS1:6
Source: RNAcentral
AUUUUCCCACGGAGUAAGAACCAGAACGCCAGCUGCCCCAGCGGCGCUCGCACCAUCCACCCUUGAAAUUGCCGUAGAAGCCAGCUGAUCUUCAACAAAGCAAACAAAAACAUAAAGUGGGGAAACGACACCCUAUUCAACAAAUGGUGCUGGGAUAAUUGACAAGCCACAUGUAGGAGAAUGAAACUGGAUCCUUAUCUCUCACCUUAUAUAAAAAUCAACUCAAGAUGGAUCGAUGACUUAAAUCUAAGACCUGAAACUAUAAAAAUUCUAGAAGACAACAUUGGAAAAGCCCUUCUAGACAUCGGCUUAGGCAAGGAUUUCAUGAUCAAGAACCCAAAAGCAAAUUUAAUAAAAACAAAAACAAAUAGCUGGGACUUAAUUAAACUAAAGAGCUUUUGCACUGCAAAAGGAACAGUCUGCAGAGUAGACAGACAACCCACAGAGUGGGAGAAAGUCUUCACAAUCUGUAUAUCUGACAAAGGACUAAUAUCCAGAAUCUACAACAAACUCAAACAAAUUAGCAAGAAAAAACAAACAAUCCCAUCAAAAAGUGGGCUUAAGGACAUGAAUAGACAAUUCUCAAAGGAGGGCAUACAAAUGGCCAACAAACAUAUGAAAAAAUGCUCAACAUCACUAAUGAUCAGGGAAAUGCAAAUAUUUGUAUUUUAAACAAAAAGGAAUAAAUGCACAGUGAAAAGGAUUAACAGGAAGAGCAAGCACAAAUAGGACCAUCUCUAGAAAACCCCUCCUUGAUUAUCCCAGGCAGAUGUUCUCAGUGCCUCCCAAGCUUCUUCAUGGCUUAAAAAAAUUGUACUGAAAUCCAUAACAUAAAAUUUACUAUUUUAAUUGUUUUUAAAAUGUACAGUUUAGUGGCAUUACGUAUGUUCUCAUUGCAUAGCCACCACCACCAUCCAUUUCCAGAACGUUUUCAUCAUCUGAAACAGAAAUCCUUUACUCAUGAAACAAUAACUCCAUAUUCCCCCUCCCUCAUAGCCCCUGGUAAUGAUUCUUCUACUUUAUGUCUCUAUAAAUGUGACUAUUCUAGGGAUCUCAUGUAAGUGGAAUAAUACAAUAUUUGUCCUUUUGGGCCUAGCUUAAUUAACUUGGCAUAAUGUCCACAAGGUUCAUCUAUGUUGUAACGUGUCAGAAUUUCCUUCUGGCUGAAUUAAAUUUAUUGUUAUGUAUACACCACAUUUUGUUGAUCCAUUCAUCUAUCAAUGGAUAUUUGAAUUGUUUCCAACUUUUGGCUAUUGUGAA